This 891-nucleotide non-coding RNA is filed under the name Aspidontus dussumieri (lance blenny). RNAcentral describes it as "partial 12S rRNA". It matches the Rfam family "Bacterial small subunit ribosomal RNA", at positions 307 to 1533 of the family's 1533-position model. Lineage: Eukaryota; Metazoa; Chordata; Actinopteri; Blenniiformes; Blenniidae. The record is from RNAcentral.
ACCCCCGUGAGAAUGCCCUUAAACUCCCCCUACGGAGUAAAGGAGCUGGUAUCAGGCACACUCCUACUGAGCAGCCUAUGACACCUUGUUUAACCACACCCCUAAGGGUUCGCAGCAGUGAUAGAUAUUAAGCAAUAAGUGAAAACUUGACUUAAUUAAGGUUCAAAGGGCCGGUAAAAUUCGUGCCAGCCACCGCGGUUACACGAGAGGCCCAAGCUGACAGCCCUUCGGCGUAAAGGGUGGUUAAAACAAUUUUGUAUUAAAGUCAAACUCCUCCCCAGCUGUUGUACGUUUUUGGAGGAAAGAAGCCCCUUCUCGAAAGUAACUUUAAAUUUAUUGAACCCACGAAAGCUAUGACACAAACUGGGAUUAGAUACCCCACUAUGCUUAGCCUUAAACUUAAGUGCUUCAUUACAAAAGCACACGCCAGGGUAUUACGAGCAUAAGCUUAAAACCCAAAGGACUUGGCGGUGCUUAAUAACCCCCUAGAGGAGCCUGUUCUGGAACCGAUAACCCUCGUUAAACCUCACCCCUUCUUGCCUAACCCGUCUAUAUACCGCCGUCGUCAGCUCACCCUGUGAAGGUCGCAUAGUAAGCUCAACUAGAAUUACCUCUAAACGUCAGGUCGAGGUGUAGCAAAUGAAGGGGGAAGAAAUGGGCUACAUUUCCUACUUGUAGGAUACACGGAAUGUGUGUUGAAACACGCACUAUGAAGGAGGAUUUAGUAGUAAAUAGAAAAUAGAGAGUUCUAUUGAAGCUGGCCCUUAAGCGCGCACACACCGCCCGUCACUCUCCUCAAACCAAAAUAAUUCACUACCUAAAACAACUAAAGGGCCCAGAGGAGAUAAGUCGUAACAUGGUAAGUGUACCGGAAGGUGCACUUGGAAAAAU